CGGGGUGUAGCGCAGUCCGGUAGCGCACCUGCUUUGGGAGCAGGGGGUCCCAAGUUCGAAUCUUGGUACCCCGA
Bacteroidales bacterium Barb6XT is the source of this 74-nucleotide transfer RNA. It matches the Rfam family "tRNA". Rfam says of the family: Transfer RNA (tRNA) molecules are approximately 80 nucleotides in length. Their secondary structure includes four short double-helical elements and three loops (D, anti-codon, and T loops). NCBI's taxonomy places the organism in Bacteria, Pseudomonadati, Bacteroidota, Bacteroidia, Bacteroidales. The record is from Rfam.